Molecule: ribosomal RNA, 253 nt
Filed under: uncultured bacterium
Lineage: Bacteria
Description: partial 16S ribosomal RNA
Rfam family: Bacterial small subunit ribosomal RNA
Source: RNAcentral
UACGUAGGGGGCAAGCGUUGUCCGGAUUUAUUGGGCGUAAAGAGCGUGUAGGCGGCCUGAAAGGUCAGCUGUGAAAACUCGAGGCUCAACCUCGAGACGUCGGUUGAAACCAUCUGGCUAGAGUCCGGAAGAGGAGUGUGGAAUUCCCGGUGUAGCGGUGAAAUGCGCAGAUAUCGGGAAGAACACCCGUGGCGAAGGCGGUUCUCUGGGACGGUACUGACGCUGAGACGCGAAAGCGUGGGGAGCAAACAGG